Molecule: ribosomal RNA, 474 nt
Filed under: uncultured bacterium
Lineage: Bacteria
Description: bacterial SSU rRNA
Rfam family: Bacterial small subunit ribosomal RNA
Source: RNAcentral
ACUCCUACGGGAGGCAGCAGUAGGGAAUCUUCCACAAUGGGCGCAAGCCUGAUGGAGCAACACCGCGUGAGUGAAGAAGGGUUUCGGCUCGUAAAGCUCUGUUGUUAAAGAAGAACACGUAUGAGAGUAACUGUUCAUACGUUGACGGUAUUUAACCAGAAAGUCACGGCUAACUAUGUGCCAGCAGCCGCGGUAAUACGUAGGUGGCAAGCGUUAUCCGGAUUUAUUGGGGCGUAAAGAGAGUGCAGGCGGUUUUCUAAGUCUGAUGUGAAAGCCUUCGGCUUAACCGGAGAAGUGCAUCGGAAACUGGAUAACUUGAGUGCAGAAGAGGGUAGUGGAACUCCAUGUGUAGCGGUGGAAUGCGUAGAUAUAUGGAAGAACACCAGUGGCGAAGGCGGCUACCUGGUCUGCAACUGACGCUGAGACUCGAAAGCAUGGGUAGCGAACAGGAUUAGAUACCCUGGUAGGAUAGCG